Molecule: ribosomal RNA, 301 nt
Filed under: uncultured bacterium
Lineage: Bacteria
Description: partial 16S ribosomal RNA
Rfam family: Bacterial small subunit ribosomal RNA
Source: RNAcentral
CAGUAGCCACGGGAAUACGGAGGGCGCGAGCGUUACCCGGAUUUACUGGGCGUAAAGGGCGUGUAGGCGGCCUGGGGCGUCCCAUGUGAAAGGCCACGGCUCAACCGUGGAGGAGCGUGGGAUACGCUCAGGCUAGAGGGUGGGAGAGGGUGGUGGAAUUCCCGGAGUAGCGGUGAAAUGCGCAGAUACCGGGAGGAACGCCGAUGGCGAAGGCAGCCACCUGGUCCACUUCUGACGCUGAGGCGCGAAAGCGUGGGGAGCAAACCGGAUUAGAUACCCCAGUAGUCCCUGUCUCUUAUAC